Molecule: ribosomal RNA, 571 nt
Filed under: Apoidea sp. DAB042
Lineage: Eukaryota; Metazoa; Arthropoda; Insecta; Hymenoptera
Description: eukaryotic LSU rRNA
Source: RNAcentral
ACCAAUACCAAAACACCACCGGGUGGGAAAGUUGAAAAGAACGGCAGAAGAGAGAGUUCAAGAGUACGUGAAACCGUUCAGGGGUAAACCUGAGAAACCCAAAAGAUCGAAUGGGGAGAUUCAUCGUCGACGAGGCUGGCUUCCGUUGGUGCGCAGAUAGCCCGCAAUUGGGACCAUUUCGGUGGUGUUUCAUAUUGCGAGGGUACACCAUCUUCGGCAAAUGUUCCGGUCGCGUAGUCGUGCACUUCUCCCUUAGUAGAACGUCGCGACCCGUUGCGUGUCGGUCUACGGUACGAGGCCGUUGCCUGUCGUGUCGCGUUCACGCGCGUACACGGCAGACGCUCGUUCACCUGGCCGGCUGCGUGACGGUACUCUGACGGUAUCGGGCCGCAACCAAUCCAUUUUCGAAUGUAUGUGCGUCAGGCCCGCCGCAAGCUCGGUUGCCACCCGGAUGGUACGGACUUUGUGCCGGCUCCGGGUCUAACCAGCUGUUGGCAGGCGGUGUCCUCGGACUGGCCAAGCUUUGAAUUACCGGUCAGCGACGCUACUGCUUUGGGUACUCUCAGGACCC